RNAcentral lists this transfer RNA (76 nucleotides) under Oryctolagus cuniculus (rabbit). It matches the Rfam family "tRNA". From Rfam's summary of the family: Transfer RNA (tRNA) molecules are approximately 80 nucleotides in length. Their secondary structure includes four short double-helical elements and three loops (D, anti-codon, and T loops). Lineage: Eukaryota; Metazoa; Chordata; Mammalia; Lagomorpha; Leporidae. The record is from Rfam by way of RNAcentral.
AGUUGUUUGGUCUAGCUUUAAGAUGUUGGGCCUGCAUCCCAAUUGAAGUGCCUGGGUUCAAGUCCUAGUUCCACUA